AUUAUUAUAUUUUAUUAAUUCCUGUCCUUCAGCUCUUGGAGAUUUCUUACCAGAUGCACUUCCUGGCCUUGUGUUUGAUACAGCAAGAGAAGAUGUGGUCUGUGGACGAGCGUACCGAGGAAGCUGCUUAUGCAGGUGGAUGGUGCUGACUCAAGGAAAGAGCUGAGCAGCCCUGGACACUGAGCUCUGAUUGUAGGAAAUUACAGCCUUGGCAGAGACCAUUCUGUGCAGGUAAUCAUGGGAAAUUACAGAGGCCUGACAAGACAAUUGACCUUGCUUAUGCCUGCCAAGAAUCUUCUUACUGUCCAGUAACAAGGCUCAGGGUACUGGGAUCACUCACUACGUGGCCUUGGCUCUGCAAGAAUUCCACAAGUAUGGAAUUGUAGAAAUGCUUUUUGUUGUCUGAAUAAAAUAAAGGAGAGG
Molecule: long non-coding RNA, 423 nt
Organism: Melopsittacus undulatus (budgerigar)
Lineage: Eukaryota; Metazoa; Chordata; Aves; Psittaciformes; Psittaculidae
Exons: 3
Source: RefSeq, a predicted model, not a curated record